GAGGGUAUAGCUCAGUGGUAGAGCACGUGCUUAGCAUGCACGAAGUCCUGGGUUCAAUCCCCAAUACCUCCA
Molecule: transfer RNA, 72 nt
Filed under: Camelus bactrianus (Bactrian camel)
Lineage: Eukaryota; Metazoa; Chordata; Mammalia; Artiodactyla; Camelidae
Also listed under: 2 other names
Rfam family: tRNA
About the family: Transfer RNA (tRNA) molecules are approximately 80 nucleotides in length. Their secondary structure includes four short double-helical elements and three loops (D, anti-codon, and T loops).
Source: Rfam by way of RNAcentral